RNAcentral lists this ribosomal RNA (479 nucleotides) under uncultured organism. RNAcentral describes it as "partial 16S ribosomal RNA". It matches the Rfam family "Bacterial small subunit ribosomal RNA", at positions 331 to 801 of the family's 1533-position model. The record is from RNAcentral.
GUACACUCCUGCGGGAGGCAGCAGUGGGGAAUUUUGGACAAUGGGCGAAAGCCUGAUCCAGCAAUGCCGCGUGUGUGAAGAAGGCCUUCGGGUUGUAAAGCACUUUUGUCCGGAAAGAAAUCCUUGGCUCUAAUACAGUCGGGGGAUGACGGUACCGGAAGAAUAAGCACCGGCUAACUACGUGCCAGCAGCCGCGGUAAUACGUAGGGUGCGAGCGUUAAUCGGAAUUACUGGGCGUAAAGCGUGCGCAGGCGGUUUGCUAAGACCGAUGUGAAAUCCCCGGGCUCAACCUGGGAACUGCAUUGGUGACUGGCAGGCUAGAGUAUGGCAGAGGGGGGUAGAAUUCCACGUGUAGCAGUGAAAUGCGUAGAGAUGUGGAGGAAUACCGAUGGCGAAGGCAGCCCCCUGGGCCAAUACUGACGCUCAUGCACGAAAGCGUGGGGAGCAAACAGGAUUAGAUACCCCAGUAGUCCCAUGAU